GUGAGGAAUAUUGCGCAAUGGAGGCAACUCUGACGCAGCCAUGCCGCGUGCAGGAAGAAGGCGCUACGCGUUGUAAACUGCUUUUAACCGGGAAGAAACCCCAGGACGUGUCCUGGGUUGACGGUACCGGAGGAAUAAGCACCGGCUAACUUCGUGCCAGCAGCCGCGGUAAUACGAAGGGUGCAAGCGUUAUCCGGAUUCAUUGGGUUUAAAGGGUGCGUAGGCGGAGCGUUAAGUCAGUGGUGAAAUCCUGCAGCUUAACUGUAGACUUGCCAUUGAUACUGGCGCUCUUGAGUGCGCUUGAAGUGGGCGGAAUGUGCCGUGUAGCGGUGAAAUGCUUAGAUAUGGCACAGAACACCAAUUGCGAAGGCAGCUCACUAAGGCGAUACUGACGCUGAGGCACGAAAGCGUGGGGAUCGAACAGGAUUAGAAACCCAAGUAGUCC
RNAcentral lists this ribosomal RNA (445 nucleotides) under uncultured bacterium. Its description in RNAcentral is "partial 16S ribosomal RNA". It matches the Rfam family "Bacterial small subunit ribosomal RNA", at positions 354 to 796 of the family's 1533-position model. The record is from RNAcentral.